This 265-nucleotide ribosomal RNA is filed under the name uncultured archaeon. Its description in RNAcentral is "partial 16S ribosomal RNA". It matches the Rfam family "Archaeal small subunit ribosomal RNA", at positions 717 to 982 of the family's 1478-position model. The record is from RNAcentral.
AGUCACUGACAUUAGAUACCCGUGUAGUCCUAGCCGUAAACGAUACUCGCUAGGUGUCGGCCACGGUGCGACCGUUGUCGGUGCCGUAGGGAAGCCGUGAAGCGAGCCACCUGGGAAGUACGGCCGCAAGGCUGAAACUUAAAGGAAUUGGCGGGGGAGCACCACGACGGGUGGAGCUUGCGGUUUAAUUGGAUUCAACGCCGGAAAUCUUACCGGGACCGACAGCAACAUGAAGGCCAGGCUGAAGACUUUGCCGGAUUAGCUG